CCUACGGGAGGCAGCAGUGGGGAAUAUUGCACAAUGGGGGAAACCCUGAUGCAGCGACGCCGCGUGAGUGAAGAAGUAAUUCGUUAUGUAAAGCUCUAUCAGCAGGGAAGAAAAUUACUGUACCGGAGUAAGAAGCCCCGGCUAACUACGAGCCAGCAGCCGCGGUCAUACUGAGGGGGCAAGCGUUCUCCGGAUUUACUGGGUGUAAAGGGAGCGUAGACGGGAGUGCAUGUCUGGAGUGAAAGGCGGGGGCUCAACCCACGGAGUGCUCUGGAAACUGUACGGCUGGAGUGCAGGAGAGGUAAGUGGAAUUCCUAGUGUAGCGGUGAAAUGCGUAGAUAUUAGGAGGAACACCAGUGGCGAAGGCGGCUUACUGGACUGUAACUGACGUUGAGGCUCGAAAGCGUGGGGGGCAAACAGGAUUAGAUACCCGAGUAGUC
Molecule: ribosomal RNA, 440 nt
Filed under: uncultured bacterium
Lineage: Bacteria
Description: partial 16S ribosomal RNA
Rfam family: Bacterial small subunit ribosomal RNA
Source: RNAcentral